This 207-nucleotide ribosomal RNA is filed under the name uncultured delta proteobacterium. RNAcentral describes it as "partial 16S ribosomal RNA". It matches the Rfam family "Bacterial small subunit ribosomal RNA", at positions 568 to 774 of the family's 1533-position model. Lineage: Bacteria; Deltaproteobacteria. The record is from RNAcentral.
CGCGUAGGCGGUUUUUUAAGUCAGAUGUGAAAGCCCGGGGCUUAACCCCGGAAGUGCAUUUGAAACUGAAAGACUUGAGUAUGGGAGAGGGAAGUGGAAUUCCUGGUGUAGAGGUGAAAUUCGUAGAUAUCAGGAGGAACACCGGUGGCGAAGGCGACUUCCUGGACCAAUACUGACGCUGAGGCGCGAAGGCGUGGGUAGCAAACA